AAGUGACAUUGACAGACAGAGAAAGAGGUCUCAUUAACUGUGAAAUGUGUGCUAAGUCUGAGGAAAAUAAUCUGGCAUGGUAUGUAAAGAAUUCAAAGGAGAGAUUGAUGGAAGGAGCAAGAAAGAUAAAAGUCCUAUGAUGAAGCA
Long non-coding RNA from Octopus sinensis (East Asian common octopus), 147 nucleotides. RefSeq lists it as uncharacterized. The record is from RefSeq and is a predicted model, not a curated record. Lineage: Eukaryota; Metazoa; Mollusca; Cephalopoda; Octopoda; Octopodidae. The transcript is spliced from 3 exons.